RNAcentral lists this ribosomal RNA (647 nucleotides) under Salmonella enterica. RNAcentral describes it as "partial 23S ribosomal RNA". It matches the Rfam family "Bacterial large subunit ribosomal RNA", at positions 2156 to 2802 of the family's 2925-position model. The record is from RNAcentral. Lineage: Bacteria; Pseudomonadati; Pseudomonadota; Gammaproteobacteria; Enterobacterales; Enterobacteriaceae. RNAcentral also lists the same sequence under 2 other names.
UUUGAAGUGUGGACGCCAGUCUGCAUGGAGCCGACCUUGAAAUACCACCCUUUAAUGUUUGAUGUUCUAACGUGGACCCGUAAUCCGGGUUGCGGACAGUGUCUGGUGGGUAGUUUGACUGGGGCGGUCUCCUCCUAAAGAGUAACGGAGGAGCACGAAGGUUGGCUAAUCCUGGUCGGACAUCAGGAGGUUAGUGCAAUGGCAUAAGCCAGCUUGACUGCGAGCGUGACGGCGCGAGCAGGUGCGAAAGCAGGUCAUAGUGAUCCGGUGGUUCUGAAUGGAAGGGCCAUCGCUCAACGGAUAAAAGGUACUCCGGGGAUAACAGGCUGAUACCGCCCAAGAGUUCAUAUCGACGGCGGUGUUUGGCACCUCGAUGUCGGCUCAUCACAUCCUGGGGCUGAAGUAGGUCCCAAGGGUAUGGCUGUUCGCCAUUUAAAGUGGUACGCGAGCUGGGUUUAGAACGUCGUGAGACAGUUCGGUCCCUAUCUGCCGUGGGCGCUGGAGAACUGAGGGGGGCUGCUCCUAGUACGAGAGGACCGGAGUGGACGCAUCACUGGUGUUCGGGUUGUCAUGCCAAUGGCACUGCCCGGUAGCUAAAUGCGGAAGAGAUAAGUGCUGAAAGCAUCUAAGCACGAAACUUGCCCCGA